GGUGAUGCCUGUAACCUCUGGUGAUUGUCGCUGAGACACGGCUGUCUCCUCACAGGUAACAUCUGGUGAUGGCAGAUGAACAAUAUUAAACAAGGCAAUAGUCUUGUCUGGGACGUCUUGGGCGCCUGAGGAUGGUGCUGGUGUCACUGCGACUGCAGCAGGUGCCACGGUGUCGGUACGACGUUUCUUAAAAACACAUGAAAUCCUGCUAAUUAGAGACAGGUUGCCCUUGGACUUGGAGCUUUUAACUGGUGCAGCUCCUUCUUUUGAACCCUUGACCACCAGUGGAGAAGAGGUGAACUGCUCCUGAGGAACACUUACUGGGACAGCUGGUGACACUUUGGCUGGUGGUUUUGGUAAAGGAUGAAUGAUCCCUGUGGAAGAGACCUCAGGAACAUCUGACUGACUUCUUGUUGGGGUUCUAGGUCUGAACCUCUUCAGGUUCCCUUUAACAAAUGUUCCAAUCAUUUUGGUCAUGUGAUGAACCUUAGUAUCCAGUCUGUGGGCAAAUGUCUUAUGCCGUGGGGUCUCCUUGGGUUUGAGAAGAGGUGAACUGCUCCUGAGAAACACUUACUGGGACAGCUGGUGACACUUUGGCCGGUGGUUUCGGUAAGUGAUGAAUGAUCUCUGUGGAAGAGACCUCAGGAACAUCUGACUGACUUCUUGUUGGGGUUCUAGGUCUGCACCUUUUCAGGUUCCCUUUAACAAAUGUUCCAAUCAUUUUGGUCAUGUGAUGAACCUUAGUAUCCAGUCUGUGGGCAAAUGUCUUAUGCCGUGGGGUCUCCUUGGGUGUCUCUAUAGUAGACUUGAUACUGUCCACUACAUCUUCCACAACUAAGCUCUUUAGAGAAUCUGAGCUCUCACAGCUGACUUCCUCCGAAUGUAGGACUUCUGCAAAGGUUGGUGGAAUUGAAUCUCCUAGAGAAGUCACCACCUCAGUGACUAAAUCUUUUUCUUUCUCUUCCUUCAGUGCCGCCAGCACUGAUUUACAAAUGAGUACUUCUAUG
This is a long non-coding RNA of Amphiprion ocellaris (clown anemonefish), 1007 nucleotides long. The record is from Ensembl. Lineage: Eukaryota; Metazoa; Chordata; Actinopteri; Pomacentridae.